UCAUUUCUGAGCACUUAGACAACAUCAAAAGAGCAAAAUGAUAAAGAAGGUGAGAUGUCUGUCCCACCACAUCCUGUAGAGUUCCUAUUUGUUGGCGGUACUUGAUGCUAUCCAAGGGAAUUUCCUACAGAUUCGUCGAUUCUCCUGAUGAAAUAAAUGUGAUAGGAGAGAUAUGAUCCACAUCAGCCAUGCUACAAAAGCAGAAAGAGUUGCUCAAAACAUAUAAAAAAACAAGACCUUCAUGAAACAUGAGCCGUCUUUUUUUUUUGAAAUGGAGGCAAAAUAUUUGCCUAUCGUUUAAUGAAGAAGAAAAGAGCUGCCCAAUGAAUUAACAAAGAGAAAACUAACAUAUUCAGACCAAGGGUGAACUACUCACAAAGCAUGAAAACCCACGACCGCACAUGCAGCCCACCAAACACUACUAACGCAGAACAACCGCAAUCCCCUACACUUGUACAAUGCAACGAGGCCAUUGAUGACAACAACUCAACAACAUGAAAAGUGCCAUUUUGAUACAUACAAGGAACACAUGAUAAGAAAAGAGACCUGCCAGUUUAAAUAAAGUGCAGUCGGGGUACGUCUUAACUUUGUGCCAACGUAAUUUGGCGCCCAGAUGUAUGUCCCGGAUGAUUCUGGUCUCUCGUACACCACCACAUGCACAGCAUUAGGGCCUC
Molecule: long non-coding RNA, 674 nt
Filed under: Triticum aestivum (bread wheat)
Lineage: Eukaryota; Viridiplantae; Streptophyta; Magnoliopsida; Poales; Poaceae
Description: long non-coding RNA (TAES_LNC006550)
Source: RNAcentral